CCCAGACUCCUACGGGAGGCAGCAGUAGGGAAUCUUUCACAAUGGGCGCAAGCCUGACCCAGCAACGCCGCGUGAAGGAAGAAGGCUUUCGGGUUGUAAACUUCUUUUAUCAGGGACGAAGCAAGUGACGGUACCUGAUGAAUAAGCCACGGCUAACUACGUGCCAGCAGCCGCGGUAAUACGUAGGUGGCAAGCGUUAUCCGGAUUUACUGGGUGUAAAGGGCGUGUAGGCGGGAGUGCAAGUCAGAUGUGAAAACUAUGGGCUCAACCCAUAGCCUGCAUUUGAAACUGUACUUCUUGAGUGCUGGAGAGGUAAUCGGAAUUCCGUGUGUAGCGGUGAAAUGCGUAGAUAUACGGAGGAACACCAGUGGCGAAGGCGGUCUGCUGGACAGCAACUGACGCUGAGGCGCGAAAGCGUGGGGAGCAAACAGGAUUAGAUACCCUAGUAU
Molecule: ribosomal RNA, 449 nt
Filed under: uncultured bacterium
Lineage: Bacteria
Description: bacterial SSU rRNA
Rfam family: Bacterial small subunit ribosomal RNA
Source: RNAcentral